AUGCGUGAUCAGGUCGGCAUCGACCUAGACGGCUUCCCCCUCGACCACGAGUUCCUGGACGACUACGGGCUAGAGGAAGAGGACGAGUGCGACAUCGAAGUGGAGCCUUUGUUCAAGGACGAGCUCGCCAACCAAGCCGUCGGACCUAAGCCGAAGCGCAAGAGCAAGCGCACGAAGGCGUACACGGCGGCCGAGGACAAACUUCUUUGCGAGUGUUGGUGA
This 222-nucleotide ribosomal RNA is filed under the name Triticum aestivum (bread wheat). Its description in RNAcentral is "partial small subunit ribosomal RNA". The record is from RNAcentral. Lineage: Eukaryota; Viridiplantae; Streptophyta; Magnoliopsida; Poales; Poaceae.